This 199-nucleotide microRNA precursor is filed under the name Triticum aestivum (bread wheat). RNAcentral describes it as "MIR1435 microRNA precursor family". It matches the Rfam family "MIR1435 microRNA precursor family". RNAcentral also lists the same sequence under 1 other name. The record is from Rfam by way of RNAcentral. Lineage: Eukaryota; Viridiplantae; Streptophyta; Magnoliopsida; Poales; Poaceae.
UAGGUCUGUCCUAAGUCAAAACUUCUUUAAGUUUGACCGUGUACAGGAAAUUUUGCUAAUAUCUACAACAUCAAACAUCUAUACUAUGAAAAUAUAUUUUAUGGUUAAGCUAAUGAACUAAUGUGGUGCUGUAAAUGUCUGUAUAGUUUUAUGUAGACUUGGUCAAAAGUUAAAGAAGUUUGACUUAGGACAAACUUUG